CAACCUAUAGAUACACGAAAAGAGAAUAUAAAUACAGAGACCAGCGGUCAAUACGUGUCAAGAACAAAUCAAAUCAAAUCAAAUCAAUCACCAACGGGAUCUUCACACACAUUCGCCGGCGUAUACUCCACGCCGGUCCCGCCAAAUCUCCCUUUUUCCCUAUAAUGUAGCUACCACCAACAGAUCACCGGAAAACUCUUCUAUUUCUCUUCUCCGUCGUCCUCUUCCGGCGCCUCAUUUUAUUCUCCGGAACGGGCGAAUCAAGCAUGAUAUUCUAGUUUUGCCUUUUUCGGAGCAAUGGAUCACAAUCACUUCACCAUAAAGACAUUUAUGGCCAUUAUGGCCGAGAGGGACGCUGCCAUACAGGAAAGAAACUUAGCACUAGAAGAGAGAAAACGCGCAUUUGCCGAGCGUGACAUGGCAAUGCUACAGCGGGACGCCGCACUAGCGGAACGUAACACCGCUAUGCAAGAACGAGACGAAGCAAUCUCCACCAUUCGUUUCCGAAGCAAUUUCAUCAACGAAAAUAUGAUCUCCACAACCUCCGAACCACCCGAAAACAUACAAAACCAUGGAUCAAAACGUGGCUUUAACGAUGAAGAAAUGCAUCACAUGUUUGAAAUUCCGGAAGAUUACCAACUUCCUCCCCCUGAGAACACCAAGCCUAGAAAGGUACCGAAAAAGACUAAAUCCCAAUCACCACACGUCGGUAGCAAACGGGCUGAUGUUACAAAUGUUACAAACGUUAACUCCGAUUAUGAAGAGAGUUCCAGCGACGCACAACUUGAAGCAUGGAAAGACGAAUUGGGAUUAAACCAAGUGAAUUUCGACGAAACAGCGAUGCCAGUGCCGGUAUGCUCAUGCACGGGUGUACCGCAACCUUGUUACAGGUGGGGCAGUGGCGGCUGGCAGUCGGCAUGCUGCACGACCACCAUGUCGAUGUAUCCUUUACCCCUGGUGACCAACAAAAGGUAUUCAAGAGUUGGUGGUAGAAAGAUGAGUGGUGGUGCUUUUACCAAACUGCUGACUAGACUUGCUUCUGAAGGUUAUGACCUUUCUACCCCUCUUGAUUUGAAGGACCAUUGGGCCAAACAUGGUACUAACCGCUACAGCAAACUAAAAUAGCUUGCAGAAGUCUUCAUCAAGUGUUACAAAGUCUAUGGUUUUACCUUAAAAAGUAUAAUAUUGUGGUAUAGGAAUGAUUACAUGUUUUGCUACCAAAGGAGAGACAUAUGGAUUGCAUAGAAGGUAUAAAUUAGUUGUUGUUGUUGCCUUUUUAUGUUUUUCUAUUUGACAGAAAUGAAUCUUGAAUUGUAAUUCAAUAGAAAGCUAGAGGGAGGAUUAUGUGUUGUGUUACCAUUUCUUAUUCUUGUCUUUAGGCAUUAUGGUUAAAAUAUAUAUUUGUGUAGAGAAUUGUAUAAACACUUGUAUUUAAUGCUUUCAAAUAUUGUGUGAGAGAGGGUGAGGUUGUUAUGCA
This is an RNA transcript of Helianthus annuus (common sunflower), 1477 nucleotides long. It is a transcript of the gene named protein BASIC PENTACYSTEINE6-like, with no coding region annotated. The transcript is spliced from 3 exons. The record is from RefSeq and is a predicted model, not a curated record. Lineage: Eukaryota; Viridiplantae; Streptophyta; Magnoliopsida; Asterales; Asteraceae.